This 4253-nucleotide long non-coding RNA is filed under the name Phocoena sinus (vaquita). RNAcentral's name for it is "lncRNA (ENSPSNG00000014138.1)". The record is from RNAcentral. Lineage: Eukaryota; Metazoa; Chordata; Mammalia; Artiodactyla; Phocoenidae.
AUAGACAAGGCACUAAAAGCAAAAGGAAAUUAGUUUAAAAUAUAGUGUGAGAUAUAUACAUAAAAUAGGAUUCAUAAGGGUGUGAAGAACAUCUUUUCCUGAACAUCUGUUAAAACUAUAUAUAUCCUCUUUGGAUGCCUUAGAAAUUCUUCAUCUCCCGGAAGGCAAGACCAGAUAAUUUUCUGUGGUUUAGUAUAAAUUGAAUAUUUAAGUGUUUUUCACACUUCUGAUAACCUUUACUAAAAGUGUUCAAAGAUAUCUUGGGUAUAUCAGGAAAGGCUUUUUUGAAGGAUGUGCAUCUUGACCUGGGUGGUGAAAGAAUCAUGUUGGAAGGGUUCUUCAUAUAUAAAUGGCAGGAAUAAAGAUAGAGGGUGGAAUUAGGUAAGUUUGGGUAGAAAGUAUCAGUAACUUGUAGGAAGAGCUAGAAGCAGUAACAGAAGAGGUUAUAGAGGCUUGGGGCAGCUAGUUCAUGGAGGGCCUUGGAUGGUAGACUUAUUAGAAUUCAAAAUUGGAACCUAUUGUUCUCCAACAGGAAAGUAGCAGAGGAGAACUGAUUAGAUUAACUGCAUGCAUUUGCUAGUUUUGUAGUUAAAAAAUAGUCAAAUAUCGGCAGUUACAAGAAGUUCACUAAUAGUUUAUGUAUUCGUAAAGCUGUUCAAAGCUUUUCUGUGAAGCAUUAAGCCGUUCCUGGAUCUUUUCCCUCCAUUUUUCUCUCUCUUUAUCCUGUAUUCUCCCCCAAAGUAUAGGUACUUCACCCUUCACGUUUGGGCGCACAUUCAGAAUAGGUCACUUCCUGUCUCAGGCAAAGUGAAAACCAAAGGUAGCUAAUUGAAAUGACUAAACUAUUUCAGACAAUUAAAAUGUUUUCUGAGUUACUCUUUGCACAAAAUAUCUGAUGCAUGGUCCUCGGAAAAUAUUAAAGACAUCUGCAACCCAUCUCUUUAAAUCUAGCUUGAUAGGAUCAAUCAUUGCCUAAGCUGAUUUUCCUGAUGAUACAAAGCUCUUGGGAAUUAAAAUCCAAUGGAGGAGGGGAAGGGUAACUGACUUGAAAUUACAUGUUGAGAUUCUGUUUUUCAAAUUCCGUUUUACAUUCCUAGAAUUUAUAAACCAACUUUGAAGUCAGUGAUUGGGGAUACUGAGAAUUUUCUUUUAAAAAUUACUUCAUUGUAAAUAUUCAAAGUCACCUAGUGUUUACUGUGAAAACAUGCUUAAAGAAGGAACAGUUUCUUUCUGAUCAAUUCUUCAUUUUGCAACUUGGCUUAAAAUUAUUUUAUUUUGGGAUGAGAGCAGUGAAUUCAGGAUAGUGUAAUCAUUCUUAUUAUUCUGAUUGCUUAUUUUUUAAAGUGGAUCAUACUAUAUAUACUGGCUUUGGUAAUCUUUUGUAAAAGAAGUCUAGUUAACAUCUGUCACUGUACUCUAACAUAUAUCAUGUAUGUUUUUCUAUAGCAAUAUUUUAAUGACCAUGUAAAUAUUUCAUUAAUAUACUAUAGUUUAAGCAGAUAUCAAUGAUAUACAUUUAAUUUGCUUCUAAUUUCUUGUUAUUCUUAACAUUGCUGUAAGAUUCUUUAUGUACAUAUAUGAUUACUUAAAACAGGUUCCUAGAAAGUUGAAUUGCUGGGUCAAGGGAUACUUAUUUUUUAAGGCAAAUUGCCCUGCAGAAAGCUUUACCGAUUUAUAUUCCCACCAACAGUGUAUGUAAUUGCCUUUUUUGUAAACUUUGGGCAAUAUUGUAAAUUGCCUUUUUAAAAGAUAAUUGCUAGCUUAGUAAGUGAAAAUAAAGGUGUUUCAUGCUUAUUUUAAUUUGCUUAUUAGUAAGUGGAACAUUUUAUAUUGUCUAGCCUUUUGCAUUUCCUUUGUUAGAUUGCUUUAAAGUUUUUGUUUGUUGGAAAAAAUAUCUAAGCCAUAUAUUUGUUCCUGAUUAGUUUUUGAAUUUGUAAUUUACUACUAAACAUGUAAGAUACGGUGAGAUAGCAUCUCUAGAGAUAAAUGGUUUUCUCAUCAUCGGCCUGUAGGGGUCUCUCUAAACCAAAUUUUUGGGAAUCAGACCGAUUUUGAGAAACUCUUAAAAUUGUCUGUGAUACAGGGGCAGUCCCGGCGAGUCCAAGUGGAAGUGAAGUCUGUGCAGGAGUCUGGGACUUUACCGCUGAUGGAAGAAUGUAUAUUGUCUGUUGGCAUUGGAUGUGUAAAAGUCAGGGCGCCGAGAUUGGCCAAGACGCAUGAAACCAUCCAUGUAAGUCUCUGUUGACAGACUCAGCCAGAUAAGAGAGUCUUUUGGAACCUGUCAGAAAACUGCCUUCCACAAACAAUUCUUUCAGUAUUUUAUUUUCUUGGAUAUCUUUUUUUCUUUUCUUUUCUUUCUUUCUUUCUUUUUUUUUUUUUUUUAACUGUAUUGCAUUUGCGUGGAACCACUGCACCAGCUUGUUGGUUUUCCCUGGUACACGGCAAACUGAGGGUUAAAACAUCUCAGCCUCCAGGAGUUCCUCAGUGCCUGAUUUCCGCCCCCCCACCCCUCUGCAGAAACCCCCUGCUGGCUCAUAAAGACUAUUUGCCAGCAGGUGUUUGAUUUCCCUUGGGGAGUGGGACUAUAAACCCAGCAGGGGGAGAGUAUUGUACUAGCUCCCUGAAAAGGUCAAAUGAGGUUCUUCACUUUCCUAUGAGAAGCUCAAGGUUUCACUCCAACUACCUGAAAACUGUAAAACCCAGAGUGAGGGUGAGCGUGGGUGGGAGAUGAAAAAGCGUAUUCGUUAAAAUAGAAAAUAUAAAGUAUGGGAAAAGAUUCAAACUUGUUUAGCGUAGUCUGAUUCUUGGAUAAAUGAUUGUUUUGGCUCUGCAUAAUAUAUUUUUUCUCUUAGGAUGAAGAGGAGGACAUGGACAGUUACCAGGUAAUGAAGCACCGGUUAUCCUAGUCAAAUAAGCUCGAUUAAAGUACUAAAUUACACAUUCCUGAGUCUUGCCAUACUGUUACUUAGUAACUACACAAUUAGUUUUGAUUCAGAUAUUGCUUUGUCUCAAGUUAAAACAGAAGGGAACAAUCAUCUGUGACUGUUAUCCUUUUCUAAACCUGGAGCUGCCCAUCCAGGCCCCUGCAGAUCCAUUCUUCAGGUUCUCUUCCUUGCACUUGUUCUCUCCUUUUUCCCUGGAAGAGCUGUUGCAGACUUGGCUUCAGUCAAGCCACGCCCCUUAGGUAUUUUCCAUACUUUAAGCCAGGUCUCCUUUCCCUACUUCCUGGAGUCAUACAGGUUUUGUUUUGUUUUUCCCCCCCACCCUCCUUUCCCUAAUCUCCUGCAAGAUUUUGUUUACGUCUUAUAAAUUUUAUUUUGUGAGUCUGGUUAGUCAUCGUUUAGCACCGUCAGAGCUCUUCGGAUCCUGAUUAUGUCAGCCAGUGCAGUCACCCUCCUGGUUUGGCUUCAUUCUAAUUGGAUAAAAAUGUCUGCUUUCCUAUAAGUUGCUGAUAAAAGUAUUGAGGGUUAAAUACAGAGUCCUGUGGCACAACCGUAGGGAAUUGUUUUAAGCUGACGUUAUUCCAUUAAUCACUAUUCUUUGGAUGUGAUAUUUCAGUCUUCUAUAAUUUCUUCCAAGUAGAUCCAUUGUACAUUUCUCCUUCUUGUCCACAAGAAUGUCAUGAGCUAUUUGGUUAAGUGCCUUAGUGAAAUCCAGAUACUCCCAAUAUGCUCAGCAUUCCACUGAUCUACCCAGUCACGUAACUUUAUUACAGAAGGAAAUGAGGUAAGAUGGCAGCACAGUCAGGUGUUGACUGGUAGAGUUGUUAAGUCUGUUGGUAACAUCCCGUCUGCCACCCCCCUCCCCCGCCAAAAAAAAAGAAACCCAACAGAAACUAGGGAGAGAAGCAUUUACAUGAUUUGUAGAUACUGGUGAAACAUGUUGAAGGCUGUAGUUAAGAAAUCUGAAGAGUUCUUCUGAUGGUUCUAAGGGAUAUAAAUUUGAGGAUUAUCGAGUAGUAUUUGUGAUUUUUAUCCAGCAAAGAGACCUUGUAGAAGAUAUUAGCUGCAUGAGUGCUUGAAGUUCUACCCUUUGAGCCAAUAGAAAUAAAACUGGUUCUGGGGCUUCCCUGGUGGCACAGUGGUUGGGGGUCCGCCUGCCGAUGCGGGGGACGCGGGUUCGUGCCCCGGUCCUGGAGGAUCCCGUGUGCUGCGGAGCAACUGGGUCCGUGGGCCAUGGCCGCUGAGCCUGUGCAUCUGGAGCCUGUGCUCUGCAUCGGGAGAGGCCACAGCAGUGAGAGGCCCGCGUGCCGC